UACGUAGGGGGCGAGCGUUACCCGGAAUCACUGGGCGUAAAGGGCGCGUAGGCGGCCUGGUAAGUCAGGGGUGAAAUCCCACGGCUCAACCGUGGAAUUGCCUUUGAAACUGCUGGGCUUGGAUCCUGGAGAGGGUGGCGGAAUUCCUGGUGUAGGAGUGAAAUCCGUAGAUAUCGGGAGGAACACCAGAGGCGAAGGCGGCCACCUGGGCCAAGACUGACGCUGAGGUGCGAAAGCGUGGGGAGCAAACAGG
RNAcentral lists this ribosomal RNA (253 nucleotides) under uncultured microorganism. RNAcentral describes it as "partial 16S ribosomal RNA". It matches the Rfam family "Bacterial small subunit ribosomal RNA", at positions 524 to 776 of the family's 1533-position model. The record is from RNAcentral.